AGCCUACGGGAGGCAGCAGUGGGGAAUAUUGGGCAAUGGGCGCAAGCCUGACCCAGCAACGCCGCGUGAAGGAAGAAGGCUUUCGGGUUGUAAACUUCUUUUAUCAGGGACGAAGCAAGUGACGGUACCUGAUGAAUAAGCCACGGCUAACUACGUGCCAGCAGCCGCGGUAAUACGUAGGUGGCAAGCGUUAUCCGGAUUUACUGGGUGUAAAGGGCGUGUAGGCGGGAGGGCAAGUCAGAUGGGAAAACUAUGGGCUCAACCCAUAGCCUGCAUUUGAAACUGUACUUCUUG
Molecule: ribosomal RNA, 294 nt
Filed under: uncultured bacterium
Lineage: Bacteria
Description: partial 16S ribosomal RNA
Rfam family: Bacterial small subunit ribosomal RNA
Source: RNAcentral